CUCUAAGAUAUAAAACUAGAGUCUAAUUCGAAAUAUUUGGACUAAUCCUAACACAUACAUUUAGGAUGAAAGCUUAAAUCAAUUUAAUCAAAUCAAACUCUAAUGCACCUAACUAGGGUUCAAUUUGAAUCAAAUCCGAUUAAGUCCCAAUGCAUAUACAUGGAAUUUAAUCAAUCCCUCACCUUUGGGUGAACAAUAUUGUUGAGCACUGAAACAUAUAGAGCCCAAUCAAAUCAAUUUGAUCAUACACUUUGAUUCAGAAUCAAGUUCAAUCAACCGUCAUAUUAUACUCAUGUACACUGGGGGUAUGCCCUUGGUUAAGCUAUGUAACUAUACAACGGAUUAUGUUAUAAAAUCCAUCUUUUAUUCAAUUUCAGUCUAUUUCAGCAUUACAGAGGUCUCUUAAUCGAAGGUGCCCUAACACUUUGUAGGGGUAAUUAACAAUAAACGCUUGCGUUUAUUGGAAGCCAUGAAUCCACAAUACCUGAUUCCCAUACAUAUUCAAAUAUUAAUCUGAAUCAUGAAUACUACCCCACGGGAAAAUCAAAAUAAGAUUAACCGUGCGAGGUGCAUCAUUCGUGGUCGCAGACACAUACGCUUAUUGGGAUUCUCUGUCAUAGCAUGUAUUUCAUACUACAUGUGCUGGGCGACCAAAAUAAAGAAGAUGAGUAAAUGGAUCCCUGCUUCCUCAUCGUACAAGUUCUUAU
This 707-nucleotide long non-coding RNA is filed under the name Ananas comosus (pineapple). Its description in RNAcentral is "long non-coding RNA (ACOM_LNC044916)". Lineage: Eukaryota; Viridiplantae; Streptophyta; Magnoliopsida; Poales; Bromeliaceae. The record is from RNAcentral.